UGGGGAAUUUUGGACAAUGGGCGAAAGCCUGAUCCAGCAAUGCCGCGUGUGUGAAGAAGGCCUUCGGGUUGUAAAGCACUUUUGUCCGGAAAGAAAUCCUCUGGGUUAAUACCUCGGGGGGAUGACGGUACCGGAAGAAUAAGCACCGGCUAACUACGUGCCAGCAGCCGCGGUAAUACGUAGGGUGCAAGCGUUAAUCGGAAUUACUGGGCGUAAAGCGUGCGCAGGCGGUUUUGUAAGACGGAUGUGAAAUCCCCGGGCUUAACCUGGGAACUGCAUUCGUGACUGCAAGGCUAGAGUAUGGCAGAGGGGGGUUAGAAUUCCACGUGUAGCAGUGAAAUGCGUAGAGAUGUGGAGGAAUACCGAUGGCGAAGGCAGCCCCCUGGGCCAAUACUGACGCUCAUGCACGAAAGCGUGGGGAGCAAACAGGAUUAGAUACCCUGGUAGUCCACGCCCUAAACGAUGUCAACUAGUUGUUGGGGAUUCAUUUCCUUAGUAACGUAGCUAACGCGUGAAGUUGACCGCCUGGGGAGUACGGUCG
RNAcentral lists this ribosomal RNA (541 nucleotides) under uncultured bacterium. Its description in RNAcentral is "partial 16S ribosomal RNA". It matches the Rfam family "Bacterial small subunit ribosomal RNA", at positions 355 to 888 of the family's 1533-position model. The record is from RNAcentral.